This 423-nucleotide ribosomal RNA is filed under the name Triticum aestivum (bread wheat). Its description in RNAcentral is "partial small subunit ribosomal RNA". The record is from RNAcentral. Lineage: Eukaryota; Viridiplantae; Streptophyta; Magnoliopsida; Poales; Poaceae.
AUGUUAUUCUGUUGUCCGCCUACUACAGGACCUCAUGAUUCAUACAAUUUCAUUGUGAAUUGCCUGGAGAGGUUUCUGCAGUACAAGUACCGUGAUUUCUACAUUGCAGGAUGGAACUAUGGAGGUAAUUGCGACCAAAAUUGGUUUAUGUGCCACGGUCAUAUUUUACUCCUCCGCUGCUAUAACUACUUUGAGGAAGCCCAUCCUGAACUUGAAAGGCUUAUACAAUGUAUAAAAAAUAGGUACCUGAGUUGUAAUUGCUUUUACUAUACUCCAAAAAACAUCUUACAUUAUGGAAUGAAGGGAGUAUAUGUUUCUAGGUAUUCGGUUCAUGUAUGUAUUUCUCUGCUAUUUGCGUCUUACACAGACAUGCUAUCGGUGAUAUCGUACCAAAUAUUAGCCCAACAUAUCGACUAUGACUAG